Molecule: ribosomal RNA, 432 nt
Filed under: uncultured bacterium
Lineage: Bacteria
Description: partial 16S ribosomal RNA
Rfam family: Bacterial small subunit ribosomal RNA
Source: RNAcentral
CCUACGGGGGGCAGCAGUGGGGAAUUGUUCACAAUGGGCGCAAGCCUGAUGACGCAACGCCGCGUGGAGGAUGAAGGUCUUCGGAUUGUAAACUCCUGUUGCCCGGGACGCGGUACCGGGUGAGGAAGCCCCGGCUAACUCUGUGCCAGCAGCCGCGGUAAUACAGAGGGGGCAAGCGUUGUUCGGAAUUACUGGGCGUAAAGGGCGCGUAGGCGGCCUGCUAAGUCGAACGUGAAAUCCCUGGGCUCAACCCAGGAACUGCGUCCGAUACUGGUUGGCUUGAAUCCGGGAGAGGGAUGUGGAAUUCCAGGUGUAGCGGUGAAAUGCGUAGAUAUCUGGAGGAACACCGGUGGCGAAGGCGGCAUCCUGGACCGGAUUGACGCUGAGGCGCGAAAGCCAGGGGAGCAAACGGGAUUAGAUACCCUUGUAGUC